UGGAUAGUGAAAACCUAUUUCAGAAAAAGUG
RNAcentral lists this non-coding RNA (31 nucleotides) under Mus musculus (house mouse). The record is from RNAcentral. Lineage: Eukaryota; Metazoa; Chordata; Mammalia; Rodentia; Muridae.